This 345-nucleotide ribosomal RNA is filed under the name uncultured archaeon. RNAcentral describes it as "bacterial SSU rRNA". It matches the Rfam family "Archaeal small subunit ribosomal RNA", at positions 385 to 730 of the family's 1478-position model. The record is from RNAcentral.
UGCGAGGGCAUAUCGUCCUCGCUUUCGUGUACCGUAGGGUGGUACACCAACAAGGGCUGGGCAAGACCGGUGCCAGCCGCCGCGGUAAUACCGGCAGCCCGAGUGAUGGCCGAUCUUAUUGGGCCUAAAGCGUCCGUAGCUGGCUGCGCAAGUCCGUCGGGAAAUCCACUCGCCCAACGAGUGGGCGUCCGACGGAAACUGCACAGCUUGGGACCGGAAGGCUCGAAGGGUACGUUCGGGGUAGGAGUGAAAUCCCAUAAUCCCGCACGGACCACCGAUGGCGAAAGCACUUCGAGAAAACGGAUCCGACAGUGAGGGACGAAAGCCAGGGUCUCCAACCGGAUU